RNAcentral lists this ribosomal RNA (253 nucleotides) under uncultured bacterium. RNAcentral's name for it is "partial 16S ribosomal RNA". It matches the Rfam family "Bacterial small subunit ribosomal RNA", at positions 524 to 776 of the family's 1533-position model. The record is from RNAcentral.
GACAGAGGUCCCGAGCGUUAUGCGGAAUCACUGGGCUUAAAGCGUGUGUAGGCGGAUGCCUAAGUACCUUGUGAAAUCCCACGGCUUAACCGUGGAACUGCUCGGUAUACUGGGUGUCUUGAGCCACUUAGGGGCUACCGGAACAAAUGGUGGAGCGGUGAAAUGCGUAGAUAUCAGGAGGAACACCAAUUGCGAAGGCAGCUCGCUGGGACGUUACUGACGCUGAGACGCGAAAGCGUGGGGAGCAAACAGG